GAUGAACGCUAGCUACAGGCUUAACACAUGCAAGUCGCAGGGUAACAUGAGGAAAGCUUGCUUUCCUUGAUGACGACUGGCGCACGGGUGAGUAACGCGUAUCCAACCUUCCCAUAACUACGGGAUAACCCGUUGAAAGACGGCCUAAUACCGUAUGAUAUCGUUUGCUGACAUCAAAUAACGAUUAAAGGUUUAGCGGUUAUGGAUGGGGAUGCGUCUGAUUAGCUUGUUGGCGGGGUAACGGCCCACCAAGGCGACGAUCAGUAGGGGUUCUGAGAGGAAGGUCCCCCACAUUGGAACUGAGACACGGUCCAAACUCCUACGGGAGGCAGCAGUGAGGAAUAUUGGUCAAUGGGCGAGAGCCUGAACCAACCAAGUAGCGUGCAGGACGACGGCCCUAUGGGUUGUAAACUGCCUUUAUGUGGGGAUAAAGUGCGUGACGUGUCAUGCAUUGCAGGUACCACAUGAAUAAGGACCGGCUAAUUCCGUG
This 490-nucleotide ribosomal RNA is filed under the name uncultured bacterium. RNAcentral describes it as "partial 16S ribosomal RNA". It matches the Rfam family "Bacterial small subunit ribosomal RNA", at positions 28 to 507 of the family's 1533-position model. The record is from RNAcentral.